RNAcentral lists this ribosomal RNA (498 nucleotides) under uncultured bacterium. RNAcentral describes it as "partial 16S ribosomal RNA". It matches the Rfam family "Bacterial small subunit ribosomal RNA", at positions 28 to 507 of the family's 1533-position model. The record is from RNAcentral.
GACGAACGCUGGCGGCGUGCCUAAUACAUGCAAGUCGAACGAGAGCGACCGGUGCUUGCACUGGUCAAUCUAGUGGCGAACGGGUGAGUAACACGUGGGUAACCUGCCCAUCAGAGGGGGAUAACAUCCGGAAACGGAUGCUAAAACCGCAUAGGUCUUCGAACCGCAUGGUUUGAAGAGGAAAAGAGGCGCAAGCUUCUGCUGAUGGAUGGACCCGCGGUGCAUUAGCUAGUUGGUGAGGUAACGGCUCACCAAGGCCGUGAUGCAUAGCCGACCUGAGAGGGUGAUCGGCCACAUUGGGACUGAGACACGGCCCAAACUCCUACGGGAGGCAGCAGUAGGGAAUCUUCCGCAAUGGACGCAAGUCUGACGGAGCAACGCCGCGUGAGUGAAGAAGGUUUUCGGAUCGUAAAGCUCUGUUGUUAGAGAAGAACAAGUGCUAGAGUAACUGUUAGCGCCUUGACGGUAUCUAACCAGAAAGCCACGGCUAACUACGUG